GACGAACGCUGGCGGCGUGCUUAACACAUGCAAGUCGAGCGAGGCCCCUCCUUCGGGAGGGUGUCCUAGCGGCGAACGGGUGAGUAACACGUGGGCAACCUGCCCUCAGCUCUGGGAUAACUCCGGGAAACCGGGGCUAAUACCGGAUACGACCUCCACGGGCAUCUGCGGAGGUGGAAAGUUUUUCGGCUGAGGAUGGGCCCGCGGCCUAUCAGCUAGUUGGUGGGGUAGUGGCCCACCAAGGCGACGACGGGUAGCCGGCCUGAGAGGGCGACCGGCCACACUGGGACUGAGACACGGCCCAGACUCCUACGGGAGGCAGCAGUGGGGAAUAUUGCGCAAUGGGCGAAAGCCUGACGCAGCGACGCCGCGUGAGGGACGAAGGCCUUCGGGUUGUAAACCUCUUUCAGCAGGGACGAAGCGGAAGUGACGGUACCUGCAGAAGAAGCACCGGCCAACUACGUG
Molecule: ribosomal RNA, 465 nt
Filed under: uncultured bacterium
Lineage: Bacteria
Description: partial 16S ribosomal RNA
Rfam family: Bacterial small subunit ribosomal RNA
Source: RNAcentral